RNAcentral lists this ribosomal RNA (468 nucleotides) under uncultured bacterium. Its description in RNAcentral is "partial 16S ribosomal RNA". It matches the Rfam family "Bacterial small subunit ribosomal RNA", at positions 28 to 507 of the family's 1533-position model. The record is from RNAcentral.
GACGAACGCUGGCGGCGUGCUUAACACAUGCAAGUCGAACGGAAAGGCCCUGCUUUUGUGGGGUGCUCGAGUGGCGAACGGGAGAGUAACACGUGAGUAACCUGCCCUUGACUUUGGGAUAACUUCAGGAAACUGGGGCUAAUACAGGAUAGGAGAUCCUGCUGCAUGGUGGGGGUUGGAAAGAUUCGGCGGUUGGGGAUGGACUGGCGGCUUAUCAGCUUGUUGGUGGGGUAGUGGCUUACCCAGGCUUUGACGGGUAGCCGGCCUGGGAGGGUGACCGGCCACGUUGCGACUGAGAUGCGGCCCAGACUCCUACGGUAGGCAGCGGUGGGGAAUAGUGCACAAUGGGCGGGAGCCUGAUGCGGCGACGCCGCGUGCGGGAUGACGGCCUUCUGGUUGUAAACCGCUUUCGCCUGUGACGAAGCGUGAGUGACGGUAAUGGGUAAAGAAGCACCGGCUAACUACGUG